RNAcentral lists this non-coding RNA (80 nucleotides) under Ditylum brightwellii. Lineage: Eukaryota; Bacillariophyta; Thalassiosirophyceae; Lithodesmiales; Lithodesmiaceae. The record is from RNAcentral.
AAAAGAACAAAGAAAAAAAAAAAAAACAAAAAAUGAUGCGUAUUUCAUUAUCCAGCCUUGUGAAUCCAGUCAGCUUUAUU